GGACUGGAGUCUGCAACCCGACUCCACGAAGCUGGAUUCGCUAGUAAUCGCGCAUCAGCCACGGCGCGGUGAAUACGUUCCCGGGCCCUGUACACACCGCCCGUCAAGCCAUGGGAGGCCGGGGGUACCUGAAGUCAGUAGUCUAACCGCAAGGAGGACGCUGCCGAAGGUGGGAUUAGCGACUGGGGUGAAGUCGUAACAAGGUAGC
Molecule: ribosomal RNA, 208 nt
Filed under: uncultured bacterium
Lineage: Bacteria
Description: partial 16S ribosomal RNA
Rfam family: Bacterial small subunit ribosomal RNA
Source: RNAcentral